UACGGAAGGCAGCAGUGGGGAAGUAUUGCACAAUGGGCGCAAGCCUGAUGCAGCCAUGCCGCGUGUAUGAAGAAGGCCUUCGGGUUGUAAAGUACUUUCAGUCGUGAGGAAGGUGUUAAGGUUAAUAACCUUAGCAAUUGACGUUAGCGACAGAAGAAGCACCGGCUAACUCCGUGCCAGCAGCCGCGGUAAUACGGAGGGUGCGAGCGUUAAUCGGAAUUACUGGGCGUAAAGGGCACGCAGGCGGUUAAUUAAGUUGGAUGUGAAAUCCCCGGGCUUAACCUGGGAAUGGCAUUCAAGACUGGUUAGCUAGAGUCUUGUAGAGGGGGUAGAAUUCCAUGUGUAGCGGUGAAAUGCGUAGAGAUGUGGAGGAAUACCGGUGGCGAAGGCGGCCCCUGGACAAAGACUGACGCUCAUGUGCGAAAGCGUGGGGAGCAAACAGGGAUUAGAUACC
Molecule: ribosomal RNA, 454 nt
Filed under: uncultured bacterium
Lineage: Bacteria
Description: bacterial SSU rRNA
Rfam family: Bacterial small subunit ribosomal RNA
Source: RNAcentral